RNAcentral lists this transfer RNA (82 nucleotides) under Isosphaeraceae bacterium. RNAcentral's name for it is "tRNA-Leu". It matches the Rfam family "tRNA". From Rfam's summary of the family: Transfer RNA (tRNA) molecules are approximately 80 nucleotides in length. Their secondary structure includes four short double-helical elements and three loops (D, anti-codon, and T loops). Further hydrogen bonds mediate the characteristic L-shaped molecular structure. tRNAs have two regions of fundamental functional importance: the anti-codon, which is responsible for specific mRNA codon recognition, and the 3' end, to which the tRNAs corresponding amino acid is attached (by aminoacyl-tRNA synthetases). tRNAs cope with the degeneracy of the genetic code in two manners: having more than one tRNA (with a specific anti-codon) for a particular amino acid; and 'wobble' base-pairing, i.e. permitting non-standard base-pairing at the 3rd anti-codon position. The record is from RNAcentral. Lineage: Bacteria; Pseudomonadati; Planctomycetota; Planctomycetia; Isosphaerales; Isosphaeraceae.
GCGAGAGUGGCGGAACUGGCAGACGCGCGGGAUUUAGGUUCCCGUGCCGCAAGGCGUGCGGGUUCGACUCCCGCCUCUCGCA